AUGUAUAUGUAUGUAUGUGUGUGUAUAUAUAUAUACACACACAUAUAUAUACACAUAUAUGUGUAUAUAUAUAUAUACAUAUACACACAUAUGUAUAUAUGUGUAUAUGUAUA
Molecule: microRNA precursor, 113 nt
Filed under: Mustela putorius furo (domestic ferret)
Lineage: Eukaryota; Metazoa; Chordata; Mammalia; Carnivora; Mustelidae
Description: miRNA (ENSMPUG00000021815.1)
Source: RNAcentral